GAAUAUUAUCAAUCUAUGUUUGUUCUCUGUUAUUUUACGAUAUUUUAAUUUUUAAACUGUAACAUUUUACGUAUUAAGUAGGAAUUCUGAUCGAGCGAAAAAAACCACACCUGAUGAAGAAUCAGCAGUUAUUUUGAGGCAUGAUGACCAUCCGGCUCGGCGUGCAUAAUAAUAUAAUGCGUCGUGUGUGCGUGAUCGGUGUUUUCGGAAACGUUUCCUGAUGUGUCGGCUGACGAAUGGAACAAUUUGUUGGACGCGAUUUAGCGAAACCGUCUGCCAACGAAAUCGAACACGAUUUCCGAAUUCCGGUGGUCCUGUGUGUUUUUGUGGGCCGGAGCGGCGCGGUGAGUGGACGUUCGUCUCGGAAACAUUGAACAAAACUACCAGCGGUGUCUAUAUAUGCAAUGUCUAAUCGGUAAUCGGAACGAAAAUUAAAUUUUUUUUUCGGCGUCUCGUAAACACCCAAUGGUUGUGACUGUAAAAACAAACAAUUAUAUAAAUUAUAUCAGUUUUUGGUUGACAUAAAAUGAGAUUGAUUCCUUGACACCGGGCCCGGUGAUUGAUAUAUAGUUUUCCAAUAAUUGUGAUUAUGAUGUUCCAGAAAAGUCAACACAUUAAUUACAAAUAUUCCGAUUUUCCACAAAAGAUAAUUGUACCUAUUAAUCCUGUUUGAAUUAUUAUGAAAAUGGGAGUUUGAAUCAUAAUGUAUCGGCUAACCAAAUUAUAUGGGAAUAAUCUUCAAUUCAUGGACGAUGUUUAGUAUUUGAUGUUUGUGAAUUAUUACAAAAUUGGACAUUUUUUUAUCUCAAAUUUAAAAUGGACAACGUGAAGUUUUAAGAGAAUUUGAGACUUCGAGAAUUUGUUCAAGAAUAAGACUCUACGAUUACAAAGUAGUGGACAUGCAAAUAAUGUUGGCAUAUUAUUAUGGGAAAUCAUAGGGGUACUCAAACUUGAACACCUCAUUAACUCAUGGUUCUUUAUUGUAAUAUUUCAUCAAUAAGAAUUGUUACGAAAACAACCUACUUAAGAUGAAAAUGAACUCAACUGAAAAUAUACCUUUUCAAAGGCGAGUACUAAGUACCGGAGCAAAACGAAAGGAAACAGUGAUUGAACUUGUGCAUCAACGUGACUAUACCAGUCAUAACAUAGAAAUAUUUGCAGAAAACAUUCAAAAACGGAUUUAAAAUUGCCAAACUAGAAAAUAUUCAAAUUGUUAUGAGAAUAAUUUGAAGACACUUGUAAAGAAGUAACCCCCCGUGAUAUCUCCAUAACCGACACUGAAAUAAUGAAUGUACAUGGGGACAUCGUGAAUGAACGUGGCGAUUUGAACCCAAAUGAAUUGCUGGAGGAUGCUGAUAGAUAUAAGCAUAGUGGAUCAAGUGGUUGGCUUCUUGAUCCUUGACUUCUAUUGACUGGAGACGAUAAUAAAAAAAGAAUUCAUUGUUGUAAAAAGACUAUCAGAAGAAGAAAGAAUUUUAAUGGCUGACAGUAUUGAACACUAUACAAUGUGGAUGUUUCUACUGAUGUAAAGCGAGGGCAUAAGGAAUGAUUUUGCAAAAGUUUUAGUAUUAUCACUGAAAAUUGGAUUUACUGAAUAUGAACAAAAUAGACAUAAUAUCAUAUUAUGAUUAUCUGCUUAAUGGGCAAGUAAGCAUUAGUAUAUAACUUACAGUUGAUAAUGAAGAUUAUUCUAAAAAAAAUGGAAAACAACCGUAAUAUUCCAAUAACAGAGAUUGCACAAUAAAUUAUUUAUUUGAUGAAAUUACACCCAAUUCCAAAGGAUUACAUAAUAUAUUGACGAGCAUUACAGAAAGUGAGAGGCACUCUAGUGGUGGUUCAGAUGAAAACUUAGAAGAGAGAAAAGUAUCAGAAGAACUUACAUUGAAUAUGGCCGACACAAAAUAUAUCAAUACAUGAAGAUAUAAUUA
Myzus persicae (green peach aphid) is the source of this 1928-nucleotide long non-coding RNA. RefSeq lists it as uncharacterized. The transcript has 11 exons. The record is from RefSeq and is a predicted model, not a curated record. Lineage: Eukaryota; Metazoa; Arthropoda; Insecta; Hemiptera; Aphididae.